GGCGGGCUCCGUGCUUCGGCAUCNNACCGUCCGCGCGCACACCACAUCAGUUCCGCAUCAAGAUNUUCUUGUGCAAAAAA
Molecule: unclassified non-coding RNA, 80 nt
Filed under: Alchemilla alpina
Lineage: Eukaryota; Viridiplantae; Streptophyta; Magnoliopsida; Rosales; Rosaceae
Description: partial external transcribed spacer
Source: RNAcentral